This 969-nucleotide long non-coding RNA is filed under the name Scleropages formosus (Asian bonytongue). RNAcentral describes it as "lncRNA (ENSSFOG00015029721.1)". The record is from RNAcentral. Lineage: Eukaryota; Metazoa; Chordata; Actinopteri; Osteoglossiformes; Osteoglossidae.
GUUAUGUAUUGAUAGAAAUAGCGGCUCCCGGCAGCCUCGCUGGGGCUGAAUUAAUGUGUUGCUAUUUUUGGAGCCCCAGUGUUUCCAGGGGAAACCUAAUGACGCAAUGACGUCAAUGCAGGUCAAUAGCAGACUGGAGGAAUUGAGCGCUUCCAUUACAUUUUGCAGUAUUUUCACAAACAGAAAGGACAAAAUGGAUGUGUUUUAAAUGCAUCGCGGGAAGGUGGGGGGAUUUUAAUGUUACAAAGUGUAACAUUGAUCGGAGAGGAGGAAAACAGUAAAAAGAUGUCCAAGGUAUUUUUAUAGAAAAUUUUCUCUAUUCCCAGUGGAUAUUGUAAAAUACCACAGUGUCCCGGAACACUGGAUUCACGACAAGAUGAAAGAGGAUUUCAUGUGUUCUCCUGCUGGACCAGGAUGAGUGCAGGGUCACGGGGAGCCAGAGCCAAACCUGGCAACACAGGGCAUAAGGCUGGAGGGGGAGGGGACAUACCCACAACAGGACACCAGUCUGUCGCAAGCCACCCCAAGCGGGACUCAAACCCCAGACCCACCAGGUAGCAGGACCUGGGCCAACCCACUGCACCACCGCAUUCUCCGCACAAAUUAAAUACUGAAAUGUAAAUCAUAAUCCAUUUUAUCUAUUGGCGUGUUCUUUCAAAUUCAGACCUUCUGAAAGCAGACACAGUGAUUUGUAUGUAGUGGAGAAUUAAGAAAUCAGAAGUGUGUGUUUUGCACAGGAAAGUAUCAUGUGUGGUAAUAAUGGUAAGUCUUGAUUAACAACCUCCCUUCCAUAAAUGAAAUGAUGGUGUGAACAGGAAAUGGAAAGCUAAAUCUGCGGGUGGGUACCGGGUAUAAAGAAUAACGUACACUGCUUUCCUGUGAAACACAGACUUUUUCACUGCCAUCUCGGACACACAAGAAGAUGACCUUUAGACUUAAGAAGGGUCUUGGCUACAGGGGUUCAUGAAA